UCUCUGGUGGCUCAGACAGUAAAGAGUCUGCCUGCAAUGCAGGAGACCCAGGUUCGAUCCCUGGGUUGGGAA
Molecule: transfer RNA, 72 nt
Filed under: Bos taurus (domestic cattle)
Lineage: Eukaryota; Metazoa; Chordata; Mammalia; Artiodactyla; Bovidae
Also listed under: 2 other names
Rfam family: tRNA
About the family: Transfer RNA (tRNA) molecules are approximately 80 nucleotides in length. Their secondary structure includes four short double-helical elements and three loops (D, anti-codon, and T loops).
Source: Rfam by way of RNAcentral